This 505-nucleotide ribosomal RNA is filed under the name Xyronotus aztecus. Its description in RNAcentral is "partial 16S ribosomal RNA". It matches the Rfam family "Bacterial large subunit ribosomal RNA", at positions 1819 to 2597 of the family's 2925-position model. Lineage: Eukaryota; Metazoa; Arthropoda; Insecta; Orthoptera; Xyronotidae. The record is from RNAcentral.
GUCUUUUUGAUAAUAAUUUAAAGUCUGACCUGCUCACUGAUGUUAAUUAAAGAGCCGCGGUAAUUUGACCGUGCAAAGGUAGCAUAAUCAUUAGUCUUUUAAUUGAAGACUGGAAUGAAUGGUUUGACGAGGAAUUAACUGUCUCUGUAUAAAAUAUAUAAUUUAACAUUUAAGUUAAAAGGCUUAAAUUUAUCUCAAGGACGAGAAGACCCUAUAGAGCUUAAUAUAUUUUUUUAUAUUUGUAUAUGAUAGUUUUGAAAUAUAUUUUAUAUUAUAUUUUGUUGGGGUGACAUAAGGAAUAAAUAAACUCUUUAUUAUUAAAUCAUUAAUUUAUGUUUAAUUGAUCCAAAAUUUUUGAUCAUAAGAUUAAGUUACCUUAGGGAUAACAGCGUAAUUGUUUUUGAGAGUUCUUAUCUACAAAGCAGAUUGCGACCUCGAUGUUGGAUUAAGAAAAAUUUUUGGUGUAGAAGUCAAAAUAUUAGGUCUGUUCGACCUUUAAAUUCUU